AGAAGAAAUGAUAAAGUACAGAAGAAGUCCAUCCAGGAAGACUCUUAGAAGAUUUUAAGAGUUCAGAUUUCCUACAUAAUUCCCACACCCCAAAAUUAACCCAAAAUUAAAUUAAAUUUCAGUUAAGGAAAGCAGGAACAGGAUCUCAACCUUGGUUCUAUUAUGAACUAAUCCAAAAGUACCUGCAUAUUUUUGAAGGCAUUACACUUUCAAUAAUGUAAUGCAGAUUUAAGCAGGACAACGAAUGAAGGAAUCGUUUUGAAACAAUUUAUAAAGUUGUUAAACUGCUUGAGAAGCAAAACUCUCCCAAAGUGGGCUUUUCAUAAAAGGAAUAAAGCCCAGCCCAAUGUUACUUCUUGGGAUCUUCCUUUAAGACUUUUUAAAAAUGCCCUUUUAAAAUGGAUGUUGUUUUCUGCAGCAAGACUAAAUAACAGGCGUGCUUUCUGGGGAAAUGUGGAAAGCUGAGAACUUGCAAGGAACUGGGCUACCGUGCAGUGCUGGUUAUGUUAUUAACCCCAAAUUCUCACCAAUGUCCUUUUCCCCCCAUAUCCCGUUGCUUGGAGAGAUCCGAUGCAUCUCUCAUUUCUCCAGGCUAGCGGCCAAAAGUUAAAUUUGGCGGGGGGGGGGGCAGGGGGGAAGGAGUCAUUAAUCUAGUCAGGUGUUGGGUUAAAUCUGGUCGCUAAAGAAACCUGAUCCGUUCACCAAACACUUUUCUCCUUGUUGAGUUCCAUUCAAUUUCAUCCAAGAACCGGAGCAAUCAGAGAAAAGACUUCAGCAGAGGUUAGAUCUGGGGAUGGGGAGAGACAAGGAGACCUGGAGAACAUCUCUCUGGCUGGCUUCACACAGCCUUUCCAGACCUAACAGCAAAGUUGCCCAACUUCCUACGUCUGGUUAAUUUUAACCCUGGCUAGUUCAUGGUUUGGCUAGCACAGAGGUUGAUGCUUUGUCCAAACCCACAAAACAGGUUUACUCAGGAACCAAGUUUGGUGGGUAGCACAAACUCAGCUGGAAGGUUAUCGGCCGUUUUUGCUAAGAGACAAAGAUCAAGGCAAAGUUGUUGAGAAGUUCAAACGAAUCCGUUUGUGAGUCAGUCCCCCCUCACGUGUAGGUCCUACGCUUCUGAGUGUGCACAGAAGAACAUUCCCGUUUUGGAAAAAUGCCUUCGGGAUGAAUCCCAGGGUGCUCUAAAAUGGAGUGUUUCCCUCCCAAGUUAGGAACUGUGCUCUGGGUUUGAAAUAGAUGUAUUGGCAAAGGAUAGAUCCGGACAGGUGGGCUAAUGGGGCCAAGAAGCCAAUGUUUUCUGGGGGAGCUGAGCUCCCAGCUCCCUUGUUGGCGCAGGAAUUGCUGGGGAGGGGAGUGCCUUCCAGUAGACUUGCCCACUGAAUGCUUUCGGCACCUCCCUCCCGGUCCUGGAGAAAGAUCUGGGGGCUCCCUGGGGCUAGGACUCAGCCCAGGGCCUUCCUUCCAGGCAGCACAUCAGGCAUGGCGUCUCAGAACAUGCACAGACUGCCAAGCGGCAUUACAAGAAGCUGCCUCGCAGGAGAAACGCAGCCCAGCUUCAGCUUCAGCGUCUCUUCCAAAGCCAGACUCGGCCCGGAGGGGCUGCCAAGGUCGGGCUGCUUCUGCCCGAGGCUUGGGCACCAACACCAGGCUGAACUGUGCCCAAUCAGGGCAACACGGGGAGCGUCAGGGGCAGAGCGCGGGGCAGGAUGAGCUGCAGGGCAUGCUGCAAGCAGAUUCCCCCCAAAGAGAGGCAAAACCCCAGCGAGGCCGGGAUCUCUUUCUCUCGGAAAACUCGCCUUCCUUUUUAGUCCACACAAACAGCUUGUGAUUCAAGCCCCAGCACAUCUCUCUGUUUUCUUCUCCUUUUCCCCCCUCCUUUUCCGCUUAUAACUCGGUCAGGACCAAAUAUUUAUCAUUUCCCAAACCUUAUAAGGAGGAACAGAAAGGGGCGAGGAGGAAAAAGGAACGCACGGCUGGCAACCGCUCUCUCCUCCUGGUCUCCCCCACCCAAAAACGCUUCCAGAAAAACAAAGGCGUUCCGCCUCCAACUCGGAGAGCCGUGCAGAGGCCCAGCAGCCUCCAGACACUACAAUUCCUAUCGCUCCCAGCCAACUGGCACAGUGACCAGCAUCCUCUUCGUCCCCUGAGGCUGCAACCCCCAACCAACCCCAGCACUGGGGGAUGAUGGGAGUUGUAAUGCAACCUCCCCAAGAUCCACUCGUGUCCGGCACAUCCACUGGUUUGCAGCCACCUGCUUUGUUGGGUGCAACAGAGGACCCCAAGAAAACGUGGGGCUUGUCCCCCAGCGCUGGCUGUUUCCUCUUACACAAUCCCCCUCCUCCCAUUAGCCCUCCUCCUCCAUUUCCUUACUUAGUUCUCCACUCAAACCUCCUAGGAAGACAGCUGCGUUUGCACAACAGGCUAACCGUGGCUUAACUGAACCAAACCCAACCAAUUUGGGUUUACCAAAGCAACCCAAUUGCCUAACUUCCCCCAACAUGGUGAGCCAUAAGUUAACCCCCGUCUAGGUUCAUACAAGCACCUGAACCACAGAGAAUCAGGGGGCUGGAAGGGAUCUUGAAGGUCUCCUAGUCCAACCCCUGCCCGGGGUGAGAAUCCAGACAAAUGGCUGUCCAACCUUUGUUUGAAAAGGCCAGAAAAUCCCUUCUUAUUUCGAGUUUGGACCUCCCUCUGCAAAGCUUCCACCCACUGGAGUACUGAAAAGCCAAUUUUAACCUACUUAACCCAACUAGCCUGCAUUUCUUUGCCUGGUGGGAACUGAGCAACUGCAGGCCAAUUUCUGCUCCGACACCCGGGUGUUCACAUCAGACACACCCAGCCACGUUUUAAAGCAAACAGCUAAAAGGAAGUAAGUCAAGCCUCUGAUGGCAUUACCACCCCACGUGCUCUCUUUCCCAAUAGGACAGCCAGGCUGUGUUCAAGCACUGCUGCCCCUCCACUGGGCGGGGGUUGAACUAAAUGACCUCUAGGACCCCCAGAACAGUAAAAUUCCCCCACAGUCCUUUUACAGGCGAGGCCUCUGCUUCAUUUUAAAACCUGCGGCCCAAAGCCUGACACAGCAAAAUGAUAAAGGAGGAAGUUCAGAGCGGGUGGCUCUCGGAGAUGGCCACGGACGUAAACUCCCACACCGAGUGGGCUUCCUGGACGCGAGCCCGUGGGCGUCAACAGGCUGAGCACCCUAGCGAAUGGACGGUUUCCAGUGGCUCGGCCCAUUCUCUCAAUGGACAAGGUCCCGGGGAGCAUUUGUGAGAGCACCCACAACCUGGCCGGCUUGGAGAGGGUCAGAUUGGCUCGCUGGCGUUUAGAAAGGCUCUGCCCCACAGCUCCAAUCCUUCGAAUACUGGGAACUGAUCAAGAUCACUGUGGCGGGGUCUCUCCCCGUCUGUCCCGUCCAAGGGAGCCAGUUUGGAAGGUUUUAUUUCUGUCUCCUAAUCACCUACGGCGAGAGAAGGGGUUUUGCCAGGCGACUAAGCAAGGACAUCAGUUUCUCUCGGUUUUUUGGUCUGCCAGUAACACGUGCCAAGGUCGUUUUGGACAGGUGGAGGCCUUUCCCCCCAGAGUUUAUAAAGCCAUCUCUCUCCACCAGCACCCCCCACAUCCCUUCUGCCUCUCGGACGCCCAAUCGAAGUCUCAACCAUCUGUGCAAACAACUGGGCUCUUUCUAUUCUGACAGCAACGAACGAACGAUCAAUUCUGGCCUAGACAGCUUAGCAACGCAGAAACCAACAGACCAUCAAGACCACCCUGGCCAUAUCCUUGCCACACCCUUAACCAGAUGCCUGCUCUCCAGCUCAGAGGGUAUAAAUAAAGAAUCUCGUAAACUGAUCCUGGAUUCCAGCCUUCGUCCCGGAUGAACGUGCUCUCAUGGAAAAUCAUGCCCCCAAAUUUAGCAACCAAGUGACAGAAUCUCCCCCAGACACUCCCCCAAAGAACGUGUCUAUCACCCAGUGCUGAUCAAUCAAACCAGGUGAGGACUGAACAGAUAUCUUUGCACGAGAAG
This is a long non-coding RNA of Python bivittatus (Burmese python), 4024 nucleotides long. RefSeq lists it as uncharacterized. Lineage: Eukaryota; Metazoa; Chordata; Lepidosauria; Squamata; Pythonidae. The record is from RefSeq and is a predicted model, not a curated record.